CCCUUAGAUGUCCGGGGCCGCACGCGCGCUACACUGAAGGAAUCAGCGUGGCUUUCUCCCUGACCCGAAAGGGUUGGGAAACCCGUUGAAUCUCCUUCGUGAUAGGGAUUGGGGCUUGAAAUUGUUCCCCAUGAACGAGGAAUUCCCAGUAAGCGCGAGUCAUAAGCUCGCGUUGAUUACGUCCCUGCCCUUUGUACACACCGCCCGUCGCUACUACCGAUUGAACGGUUUAGUGAGGGCCUCGGAUUGGUCUCGGCCCGCUCUUUAGCGGGCGGCGCCGUUGGUCGAGAAGACGCUCGAACUUGAUCGUUUAGAGGAAGUAAAAGUCGUAACA
This 334-nucleotide ribosomal RNA is filed under the name uncultured eukaryote. Its description in RNAcentral is "partial 18S ribosomal RNA". It matches the Rfam family "Eukaryotic small subunit ribosomal RNA", at positions 1470 to 1796 of the family's 1831-position model. The record is from RNAcentral.